UACGGAGGAUGCGAGCGUUAUCCGGAUUUAUUGGGUUUAAAGGGUGCGUAGGCGGGAUGCCAAGUCAGCGGUAAAAAUGCGGUGCUCAACGCCGUCGAGCCGUUGAAACUGGCGUUCUUGAGUGGGCGAGAAGUAUGCGGAAUGCAUGGUGUAGCGGUGAAAUGCAUAGAUAUCACGCAGAACUCCGAUUGCGAAGGCAGCAUACCGGCGCCCUACUGACGCUGAGGCACGAAAGCGUGGGUAUCGAACAGG
This 252-nucleotide ribosomal RNA is filed under the name uncultured bacterium. RNAcentral's name for it is "partial 16S ribosomal RNA". It matches the Rfam family "Bacterial small subunit ribosomal RNA", at positions 524 to 776 of the family's 1533-position model. The record is from RNAcentral.